Molecule: ribosomal RNA, 442 nt
Filed under: uncultured bacterium
Lineage: Bacteria
Description: partial 16S ribosomal RNA
Rfam family: Bacterial small subunit ribosomal RNA
Source: RNAcentral
GAUGAACGCUGGCGGCGUGCCUUAUACAUGCAAGUCGAGUGGGUUUAGACCCACGGCAAACGGGUGAGUAACACGUAGGUCCUUUCCUUGUCACAGGAAUAACCCUCCGAAAGGAGGGCUAAUACCUGAUGUGAUCGCAAGAUUAAAGGGUAUCCGCAAGGAUCACCGGACAAGAAGAGGCCUGCGGCCUAUCAGCUAGUUGGCGGGGUAAAUGCCCACCAAGGCUAUGACGGGUAGAUGGUCUUAUGAGGAUGAUCAGUCACAUGGGCACUGAGACACGGGCCCAACUCCUACGGGAGGCAGCAGUAGGGAAUUUUGCGCAAUGGGCGAAAGUCUGACGCAGCGACGCCGCGUGCGGGAUGAAGGCCUUCGGGUCGUAAACCGCUUUUAUAAGGGACGAACUUUGACGGUACCUAAUGAAUAAGAGGUUGCUAACUCUGUG